This 300-nucleotide unclassified non-coding RNA is filed under the name uncultured fungus. RNAcentral describes it as "sequence contains ITS1". The stretch from base 1 to 97 matches the Rfam family "5.8S ribosomal RNA", at positions 50 to 154 of the family's 154-position model. Lineage: Eukaryota; Fungi. The record is from RNAcentral.
GAAAUGCGAUACGUAAUGCGAAUUGCACAACCGCGAGUCAUCAAAUCUUUGAACGCAAAUGGCGAUAGCGCAAGCUAUCAUGUUCGUUUCAGUGUAUCUGGUUACCAACAUCAUAUAUUCAAAUGCGAUUGAAGCAAUUCUCUCGUUGAAUACGGGACAACUUGGCCUGCAAUCAUUAAGCGAAGUAGUCACUAAACAAGUGAUGUCGCAUUAAGCGAUUGCUUGCCUCAAAGAGCUGUCCAUCAAAAACAUAUCCUUUAUAUGAUACCUGAAAUGAGCAAGAAUACCCGCUGAACUUAA